UACGUAGGGGGCAAGCGUUAUCCGGAUUUACUGGGUGUAAAGGGAGCGCAGACGGCAGUACAAGUCUGAUGUGAAAGCCCGGGGCUCAACCCCGGAACUGCAUUGGAAACUGUAGCUCGAGUGUCGGAGGGGUAAGCGGAAUUCCUAGUGUAGCGGUGAAAUGCGUAGACAUUAGGAGGAACACCGGUGGCGAAGGCGGCUUACUGGACGACUACUGACGUUGAGGCUCGAAGGCGUGGGGAGCAAACAG
RNAcentral lists this ribosomal RNA (250 nucleotides) under uncultured prokaryote. RNAcentral's name for it is "partial 16S ribosomal RNA". It matches the Rfam family "Bacterial small subunit ribosomal RNA", at positions 524 to 775 of the family's 1533-position model. The record is from RNAcentral.